AACGUAGGAGGCAAGCGUUAUCCGGAGUUACUGGGCGUAAAGAGUGCGUAGGCGGACCUGUAAGUGGGUGGUGAAAGCGCCCGGCUAAACCGGGCGAGGUUCAUUCAGACUGCAGGUCUAGAGGCGGAUAGAGGGGGGUAGAAUUCCACGUGUAGCAGUGAAAUGCGUAGAUAUGUGGAGGAAUACCGAUGGCGAAGGCAGCCCCCUGGGAUAACACUGACGCUCAUGCACGAAAGCAUGGGGAGCAAACAGG
RNAcentral lists this ribosomal RNA (253 nucleotides) under uncultured bacterium. RNAcentral's name for it is "partial 16S ribosomal RNA". It matches the Rfam family "Bacterial small subunit ribosomal RNA", at positions 524 to 776 of the family's 1533-position model. The record is from RNAcentral.